Molecule: long non-coding RNA, 609 nt
Organism: Pseudophryne corroboree (corroboree frog)
Lineage: Eukaryota; Metazoa; Chordata; Amphibia; Anura; Myobatrachidae
Exons: 3
Source: RefSeq, a predicted model, not a curated record
CCUCAGGGACAUCCUGAGGAUCAAAAGAGACCUCAAAAUCCGAAACCAACGGAGCAUUGCCUAUGGCCGAUGCAGAGGCGUGGAGAACAUCAGAAACUGUGAUGCCCCACGGGACCUGAGGGAUAUCCUUACUGCACGGCGCAGGGGCCACAAUGGACCAUACAAGAACAGACGCCGUGGAGGAGCCCCAUGGUAGAAGACGCGUAGAGGAAAGCGAUCCAGCAUUAAUAGAAACAUCUGCUGUAAAUCUACGCGCUAUGCAAAGCCUAUACCACCGGCUGUCAUCAUGUGAUGUAUCCAGUUCAAAGCCUAUGCCAUCGGCUGUCAUCAUGUGAUGUAUCCAGUUCAAAGCCUAUACCACCGGCUGUCAUCAUGUGAUGUAUCCAGUUCAAAGCCUAUACCAUCGGCUGUCAUCUUGCGUUAUAUACAGGCUCUCUAUAACUCCAGUCUACAGUCAGUUAUUGGAAAGCCACCAAUUGUUCUGUAACUUUAAGACGUACUUAAUAUAUGGCGACUUUCUUAUAGGUAGUUCUUGUAUAAACCUAUACCACCUGCUGGAGUACCACCUUGUACAAUACUGUAUAUAUAACGUGUACCCUCUGCUGGAAA